Molecule: ribosomal RNA, 253 nt
Filed under: uncultured bacterium
Lineage: Bacteria
Description: partial 16S ribosomal RNA
Rfam family: Bacterial small subunit ribosomal RNA
Source: RNAcentral
UACGUAGGGUGCGAGCGUUGUCCGGAAUUAUUGGGCGUAAAGAGCUCGUAGGCGGCUUGUCGCGUCGACCGUGAAAACUUGGGGCUCAACCCCAAGCCUGCGGUCGAUACGGGCAGGCUAGAGUUCGGUAGGGGAGAUCGGAAUUCCUGGUGUAGCGGUGGAAUGCGCAGAUAUCAGGAGGAACACCGAUGGCGAAGGCAGGUCUCUGGGCCACUACUGACGCUGAGAAGCGAAAGCAUGGGGAGCGAACAGG